AGCAGUAGCCGCGGGAAUACGUAGGUGGCAAGCGUUGUCCGGAAUUAUUGGGCGUAAAGCGCGCGCAGGUGGUUUAAUAAGUCUGAUGUGAAAGCCCACGGCUCAAUCGUGGAGGGUCAUUGGAAACUGUUAAACUUGAGUGCAGGAGAGAAAAGUGGAAUUCCUAGUGUAGCGGCGGAAUGCGUAGAGAUUAGGAGGAACACCAGUGGCGAAGGCGGCUUUUUGGCCUGUAACUGACACUGAGGCGCGAAAGCGUGGGGAGCAAACAGGAUUAGAUACCCCCGUAGUCCCUGUCUCUUAUAC
This 303-nucleotide ribosomal RNA is filed under the name uncultured bacterium. RNAcentral's name for it is "partial 16S ribosomal RNA". It matches the Rfam family "Bacterial small subunit ribosomal RNA", at positions 507 to 807 of the family's 1533-position model. The record is from RNAcentral.